UCUCGAUCCAGGAGUAGGGAGCGGAAGAAAUCGAGAUCCAGAAGCAGAGAGAGGAAGAAAUCGAGAUCCAGAAGCAGGGAAAGAAAACGGCGGAUCAGGUCUCGUUCCCGCUCAAGAUCAAGACACAGGCAUAGGACUAGAAGCAGGAGUAGGACAAGGAGUAGGAGUCGAGAUAGAAAGAAGAGAAUUGAAAAGCCGAGAAGAUUUAGCAGAAGUUUAAGCCGGACUCCAAGUCCACCUCCCUUCAGAGGCAGAAACACAGCAAUGGAUGCACAGGAAGCUUUAGCUAGAAGGUGUGUAUAUUUCUUAAUUCAUUUGUUCUGGUUCGCCUUUAAAUAAAUGCUCAAUUGUGUGGAUAAGAUGAAUUCUUUCAGUAAGAGAAUGAUUCACAUACUUUAGUAAUAUGGUGGCAUAUUUGUGAUCUAGAACUAUGUAAAUAGUUUAAUUCUUAUUCUAAACAUUUGCACAACUAUAAGAUUGAGAUGUCUACAAUUUGUUUUUUCCUUCAUGAUUUAACUGAUUUCAUUUUUCUCAAAUUUAGACUCCCAAAUAUUUUCAGUUUGCAUUUGAAACUUUUUUUUUUUGAGUCUUAAAUCUGGUUCAAGAACUAUUAUUUUCUCAUC
This 623-nucleotide small RNA is filed under the name Pan troglodytes (chimpanzee). RNAcentral's name for it is "retained intron". Lineage: Eukaryota; Metazoa; Chordata; Mammalia; Primates; Hominidae. The record is from RNAcentral.